UAGGGAAUCUUCCGCAAUGGGCGAAAGCCUGACGGAGCAACGCCGCGUGAGUGAUGAAGGUCUUCGGAUCGUAAAACUCUGUUAUUAGGGAAGAACAAAUGUGUAAGUAACUAUGCACGUCUUGACGGUACCUAAUCAGAAAGCCACGGCUAACUACGUGCCAGCAGCCGCGGUAAUACGUAGGUGGCAAGCGUUAUCCGGAAUUAUUGGGCGUAAAGCGCGCGUAGGCGGUUUUUUAAGUCUGAUGUGAAAGCCCACGGCUCAACCGUGGAGGGUCAUUGGAAACUGGAAAACUUGAGUGCAGAAGAGGAAAGUGGAAUUCCAUGUGUAGCGGUGAAAUGCGCAGAAAUAUGGAGGAACACCAGUGGCGAAGGCGACUUUCUGGUCUGUAACUGACGCUGAUGUGCGAAAGCGUGGGGAUCAAACAGG
RNAcentral lists this ribosomal RNA (429 nucleotides) under Actinomycetes bacterium. Its description in RNAcentral is "Actinobacteria bacterium partial 16S ribosomal RNA". It matches the Rfam family "Bacterial small subunit ribosomal RNA", at positions 355 to 776 of the family's 1533-position model. The record is from RNAcentral. Lineage: Bacteria; Bacillati; Actinomycetota; Actinomycetes.